GCUCCGGUAGCUCAGUUGGUAGAGCAGUGGCCUUUUAAGCCAUAGGUCGUGGGUUCGAGUCCCACCCGGGGCA
This 73-nucleotide transfer RNA is filed under the name Gemmatimonadota bacterium. Its description in RNAcentral is "Gemmatimonadetes bacterium tRNA-Lys". It matches the Rfam family "tRNA". From Rfam's summary of the family: Transfer RNA (tRNA) molecules are approximately 80 nucleotides in length. Their secondary structure includes four short double-helical elements and three loops (D, anti-codon, and T loops). Further hydrogen bonds mediate the characteristic L-shaped molecular structure. tRNAs have two regions of fundamental functional importance: the anti-codon, which is responsible for specific mRNA codon recognition, and the 3' end, to which the tRNAs corresponding amino acid is attached (by aminoacyl-tRNA synthetases). tRNAs cope with the degeneracy of the genetic code in two manners: having more than one tRNA (with a specific anti-codon) for a particular amino acid; and 'wobble' base-pairing, i.e. permitting non-standard base-pairing at the 3rd anti-codon position. The record is from RNAcentral. RNAcentral also lists the same sequence under 1 other name. Lineage: Bacteria; Pseudomonadati; Gemmatimonadota.